RNAcentral lists this ribosomal RNA (279 nucleotides) under uncultured bacterium. Its description in RNAcentral is "partial 16S ribosomal RNA". It matches the Rfam family "Bacterial small subunit ribosomal RNA", at positions 506 to 784 of the family's 1533-position model. The record is from RNAcentral.
UGCCAGCAGCCGCGGUAAUACGUAGGGGACAAGCGUUGUCCGGAUUCAUUGGGCGUAAAGAGCUCGUAGGCGGUUCAGUAAGUUGGGUGUGAAAGCUCCGGGCCCAACCCUGGAACUGCAUCCGAUACUGUCAGGCUAGAGUCCCGGAGAGGGUGGCGGAAUUCCCGGUGUAGGGGUGAAAUCCGUAGAUAUCGGGAGGAACACCAGUGGCGAAGGCGGCCUCCUGGACGGUGACUGACGCUGAGACUCGAAAGCGUGGGUAGCAAACAGGAUUAGAUA